UUUCAGUAGAAUAGGUGAAAGGCAGAUAAAAGCUCACCAGUGUUGCAGGGCGCUUUUACCUUCGUACAAGCUUCAUUAUGGCUGUUUUACCUUCAUACAAGCACAGCUACAGAAAAGAUGCUCUUGAAGCUCCAUGAGCUAUGUUUCAGUCAAGACAGAGCAGAAGUGAAACUCAGGCCUAAAUAAGAUCCAAACUUAAAUGUAAAAAAAUAGAGGAAUUUUAUCCAUGAAGAAAAACAGAAAACAUACAGCCUAAGGCAGCAGCAAGAAGCAAGGGAGCUGGAAAGCAGUUUCUACUGGAUUUCAAACUGCUGGAGCAGG
Hirundo rustica (Barn swallow) is the source of this 321-nucleotide long non-coding RNA. RefSeq lists it as uncharacterized. The transcript is spliced from 4 exons. The record is from RefSeq and is a predicted model, not a curated record. Lineage: Eukaryota; Metazoa; Chordata; Aves; Passeriformes; Hirundinidae.